Molecule: long non-coding RNA, 1331 nt
Organism: Brassica napus (rape)
Lineage: Eukaryota; Viridiplantae; Streptophyta; Magnoliopsida; Brassicales; Brassicaceae
Exons: 2
Source: RefSeq, a predicted model, not a curated record
AUUUUGUCUCUCCAUCUCCACUGCAACCAAUCUGUAGAGUAAUCAAUUGUCCGUUUUGGUUUGAUUGAUGGCUUCCACUCCAUUUAUUUAUAAAUCUCUUCUUUCAUGUUUUUUUUUCAAUCAAAACUCUCUCAAUUUGUUCUCGCGAUGAAGUCGAACGGGAAAGCCUUAGUCUCCGACGAUCCGAUUGUGAAGAAACCAAACGGCAAGGAUGUUGUCUCCUCCACCGUUCUGGAUCAACCAACCAGUAAAAACGCCGUCUCCUCCGCCAAGGUCCAUAAGGUGAUGCCCGCCGUCUCCUCCGCUGUACCGAUCCAAGCAAGCAGAUCAACCGCCGUCUCCUCCGUCAAGGUUGAUAAGGUGAUGUUUUUCUUCCACUGUUCUUCGUCUAAUUCGUUGUUGAUAUCAAACCCAUUCUCUCUCUCUCUUAUAUAUAUAUAUAUAUAUCUUAUCUAUCACUACGAGUUUUCUCUGGUCAGUGGUGAUGUCCGUGCGGAAGAGAGAGCAUACGAUUUCUUUUUUGGCUUUCUUCUGUGAUAGUGGAAUUGUGUUUGUUGAUGGUGAAGUGUUUGUUCUGGGUUUUGUUUUUAAGGACUCAAGAUUGUGUCUAUGUGUGGAUUUGGUUUUGUCUGAGAAAGAUAUGAGAUUAGGAGUAGACCGUAGAGAUUGAGUAUGAAGAAUCAAUCUUUAGACGCUUUUGGUGAUAUGGUUGAAACUAUAUUUUUUUUUUUUGGACUCUGUUGAAACUUGAAACUAAUUAAAGGAGAGUUUUUUGUUUGUUUCAAAUGUGUUGAUGGAGCACAUUCUAUCUAGGUAUGAAUACAACUGCUAAGACUGAACAACAACUUCUACUUUGUUCUUCUCAAGAUAAUGGUGAUGUGGUAUGUGUAUCUAUUAUCUACAAGCAGUGAAUAAAGGGGGAUAGAACCAAUGAGGAGAGCCAGUUGAUGUGGUGACAAAGCCAGGACAUGCUGCUCUUUUGAUCAAAUUAUGAUACACAACAAAUAUUAUUACGUCACAUGAUCAGAGAAACAAUAGCUCACAUAUGAGAACUGAUACAUAGAGAAAUGUCUCACCAAUGGAUUUUGGAGGCUCUCCUUCUGCACAUGUUAAUCUUGGCAACUGGUUUUAUUCCUCAUCUCCUGCAACUAUAUUUUUAUGACUGUAUUAGAUCAUAUUACUACCAAUCUUCUUCCUAAGAAUGGCUUUAUUUUUGUUCAAGAAAUGUUCUUAUAUGUGUUUCUAUUUUAUGUUUUCAUUUUAGGUUCCAGAAAAUUGUUCCUCUUAACGCAUGUUACACUAAAACAGUUUAAAUGCAACUUUUUAAUGUA